This 86-nucleotide transfer RNA is filed under the name Enterococcus saigonensis. RNAcentral's name for it is "tRNA-Leu". It matches the Rfam family "tRNA". Rfam says of the family: Transfer RNA (tRNA) molecules are approximately 80 nucleotides in length. Their secondary structure includes four short double-helical elements and three loops (D, anti-codon, and T loops). Lineage: Bacteria; Bacillati; Bacillota; Bacilli; Lactobacillales; Enterococcaceae. The record is from RNAcentral.
UGCGGAGUUGGUGGAACGGCAGACACGUAUGCUUCAGGCGCAUAUGUCCAUGAUGGACGUGAGGGUUCAAAUCCCUUACUCCGCAU